GACGAACGCUGGCGGCGUGCUUAACACAUGCAAGUCGAACGGUGAAGGGAUCAGCUUGCUGGUUCUGGAUGAGUGGCGAACGGGUGAGUAACACGUGAGUAACCUGCCCCCUUCUUCUGGAUAACCGCAUGAAAGUGUGGCUAAUACGGGAUAUUCUGCGCCUGCUGCAUGGUGGGUGUGGGAAAGAUAUUGUUUCGGUGGGGGAUGGGCUCGCGGCCUAUCAGCUUGUUGGUGGGGUGAUGGCCUACCAAGGCGGUGACGGGUAGCCGGCCUGAGAGGGUGGACGGUCACACUGGGACUGAGACACGGCCCAGACUCCUACGGGAGGCAGCAGUGGGGAAUAUUGCACAAUGGGCGCAAGCCUGAUGCAGCGACGCCGCGUGAGGGAUGGAGGCCUUCGGGUUGUGAACCUCUUUCGCCAGUGAAGCAGGCCUGUCCCUGGUGGGUGGGUUGACGGUAGCUGGAUAAGAAGCGCCGGCUAACUACGG
RNAcentral lists this ribosomal RNA (488 nucleotides) under uncultured bacterium. RNAcentral describes it as "partial 16S ribosomal RNA". It matches the Rfam family "Bacterial small subunit ribosomal RNA", at positions 28 to 506 of the family's 1533-position model. The record is from RNAcentral.